Long non-coding RNA from Oncorhynchus masou masou (cherry salmon), 883 nucleotides. RefSeq lists it as uncharacterized. The transcript has 4 exons. The record is from RefSeq and is a predicted model, not a curated record. Lineage: Eukaryota; Metazoa; Chordata; Actinopteri; Salmoniformes; Salmonidae.
AGACCUACAGCCAGACAGGAUGAUCACAGACAAUGUGAUUUGGUGAUGGGAGCUAUGAGCAGUGCAGGCAUGUUGGAUUCAAGGGAUGUUGGGAUCUUUUCUCUCAUCACCUCUGUACCGUCCACGUUUUUGCCCUCAGGCCCUGUUGAAGAGAAUGGACAGUCAUCUGAAAAAAGACAAUUCUGUUACGUACCACGUAUACAGCUCAAACCCCGACCGACCAGAAACCUCAGCCCAGCCGGAUGGGUUGUACAGUCUUCUGCAAGCACACUGACACUACACCACUGGCUUUCUGUAGCUAUUUCUCACAGAAAUACUCUUUCUUGCAGGAUGACCUUUAUUUAUCAAACAUCAUGUUACUGUAAAUAAGUAUGGAAUACUUAUUUAUAAUCUUAUAAUCUUAUUUAUAAUCUUAUAAUCUGCUGCAGUACCGUUUCUAUUUAUAAGCAACAUAAGUGGCUGCCAUCCCAAUGUGUAGAACUGCAGGAAAUAAGCUUUGAAACUGAAUUUCUUUCUACCCCAUGGCAUAAUGUGUACAAAUGCGGGAAAUUAGCUUUAGAACUGCAAAGUUCCCUCCGCCACAUGGCAAAAUGAGUAGAAAUUCAGGACAUUAACUUUAAAGCUGCACUAUUUUCACUAAAAUGUUUUUCUUUAGAACUUUAGAAGCCUAAAUACACUAUACAUUUCCAUGUCCUGCUGUACAGGAAAAUUCUCAUAAAAAAAGAGUGAUCAAACUAAGAUCCUACAAUGUUUCGAAACACACUAUAGCCCAACAGUAAAGAUGGUGGAUCAGGCUAUGGGGAUGGUUAUUUUGUUUAAAAAAAUGGUGGGUCCGCCCUCACCUCCUAAUCCCUCUUCUAUAAGAUUCUUGAUAUACACUAAA